This is a long non-coding RNA of Papaver somniferum (opium poppy), 3278 nucleotides long. RefSeq lists it as uncharacterized. The transcript has 3 exons. NCBI's taxonomy places the organism in Eukaryota, Viridiplantae, Streptophyta, Magnoliopsida, Ranunculales, Papaveraceae. The record is from RefSeq and is a predicted model, not a curated record.
UUUGGGAGUUGAAUGAGUAACCGGGUACGCCGUAUCGUACUCUCUCCAUUUGUUUUAUCUCUGUUUCCUGAUAUUCAAAUUCUUCAUCUUCCUGCCUUUGAAUCAUUAAACAUGGAAUAAGCAGGUUCCAUUUUUUAGGAUUGUAGUCCAGAUUUGUUUUCUCAGUAGAUAAAUCUAGGCUGUGGUGAAUCAUUAGGCACUAAACUCAUCAUGCCUAAGGGAAAUAUCAGUUUUCCUUCUUAAGGAAGUUGCUUCUCUCAUAAACCUCAUCAUGUCAAGAGAAGACAAACGAAAACCAGCUCUAAAAAAUUUCGGUAUGAUUAGUCAUGUCAACCAAAGGUAGUUCAUCUUCCGUCUCUCUCUUCGAUUUCGAUUUCGUUUUUUUUUGUUCACAUGGAUACGUAAUAUUCACCCACUUAUUGAUAGUAAACGCCCAAAUUCAACGAUGACAGCGAAGAAUGAACAAAUGAUUGUACCGCCCAUUAUUUCUUUUUUCUAACUCUAACUUUUUCAGUCGUUGUCUUCAUUGUCUUCCGAGACAACUCUUGGUAAAAUCACCUUCACUUAUGGCUUCAAAUCGUCUCGCAAAUCUUCCCAAGAAGGAACUGAUUAUGCUAAAUCGUUUGGCUAUAAAGAGAGAUUUGUGUUGUUUGUAAAGAGGUUCCCAGAAUUUGUUGUCCGGCAGUUUGACUAUAUUUGGUUAUGACUUUCUUGAAGUUCCAUUGGAUGUUUUAUUAGUUUUGGUUUUAUUUUAAUGCAGUUUAUGUCGCAAUAGUUAAUUUUCUUGAUCUUUGAUUUUUCCACGUUUCAUGCUGUCGUGCAGGAUUAAACUAUCAUUCAAUGAGAGAAAUUGGGUUUACUGCUCACGAAUUCUCAUUCUUUGUCUUCCGUUUCCAAUCCAAUUCCAAGAACGACUUAGUACAAAGCAAGCGGAAUAAGAUCAAACGUAUUUCAUGACAUGAUCUUAGGUCCCAUGUGGGAUUGACGUUAUCGACGGUGAUGUUUUUACUGAAGAUUGCUUGGUUAGUGAAGAUGGUUCUGAUUCUGAUUCUGAGUUUUUUGUUUUUAUCAUUUUUUUUAUAUAUAGUUAUGUCUUUUGAUGUAUGAAUUUUGGAACUAGCGAGUCUUCUAGGACAACGGUUGAUAUUGCCUACUGAUGGCAAUUUCGAUUCAAAGUGAAUACAUGACCUUCUUUUUUUUAAACCUUUCUUAGAUUCACCAUCACUGCAGACAAACAUAUUAUCAGUUAAAACCACAGUUGCACAAUUUUUACAGGUUAUAGUGGAUAAUUUUAUUGUGGAGCAUGUAGUUGAAUUACCAGAUCAUGAGCAUGACUACAAUGUGCAAUGUUGGGGUAUUGGAAGAUAAACUAAGCAAGAGGAAAUUAGGAGAAUUUCAUUACGAAGGUAUGUAAUUCAAGGGUUGCAUUGCCAUGAAUGUAUGUGGCUUAACUAAUAUGAGAAUUUAGGACUUAAAUUUGUAUAGGAGUCUUGCAUAUUUUGAUGGAAUUCUUGAUAGCACUAAGACUAUCGGGGUAGUACUUGAGCAACUGGUGUUUGUAUAGAAAACUGUAUCCAGGGAAAGGUGUUGAUCUCAAAUUACAGACAUCCAAUUCACAUUACAAGCUCAUAUACGACACCUGCUUUGGGUGACAAAGUAGGGCGGUUAAUGGGCAUCAAAAAUAUCUCUCCAGGUGUUAAUCAGGUGAUCUAUGCCUUUCGUGCAAAAUAUGAUUUUCUUAUCAUCACAAACAUGCACUUGAAUAAACUGGACAAGAAGAAUCAUUUUAAUACUACUUUUCAGCAUUUUGGUAAAGAUCAUAGCAGGGUAAUCCCAAAUUUGCAAUUCACUCUGAUGACUGAUGAUACAAAGUGUUCACUGGCUUAUGGUUUGUUUCUAAUUAAGCAAUGCUCUAAACAAGUCUUGGAUCAAUACCAAGUUUAUAGAUGGUUUCAAAAGGCUUAUUGACCCAAAAUAUAUGAUAUUUCCAUUCUCCGAACACAGACAGGCGUAACUUAUGGCAUCUUCGACUUUUUCUCUUAUUUAUUAUUUUUUAUUGUUACUAUUAACAUUUUUAUUUCUAUUUACACUUAACCCUAAUGAGAAAAAUUAUGUUUUCAAUGUAAGGGUUUCUUCUUAUUCCUCAUCUGUCGUUAAUUACAUGUUUUGGAUUUGAGGUAUUUUAUUUAGUUUUUAACUUGACCGCAGACUCUUAUCUUUUGCAAGGUAAAAAUUCAAAGUAAACAGGUGUAUGGGCUAUGGCAUGACCAGCAUCCAAGAAAUAGAUACCAAAAAAGAAGCAUUAAAAGGUUGCGGGGUGAAACAAAAGAUUAUGCCAACUGAUUUAGCAUAUCUGGAGAUGUUCCGAUUAUCGACAUGGGCGGAAUUCGAUCUAGGAAGUGCUCCUGUCUACUCGAAGACCAUGAGUAGCUUCCCCAUACUUUUAAUAAAACAAAGGGAUCCAUUUAAAGGUAACUGAUUCAAUUAACAAUAAAAUUUUCAUUAAUUCAUAGGGUCAGAAGCCUAAGCUCUUCUGCAACCCCAUAGCGAAUGAACUGGAGAAUUUGGAAUUGCAUUUAAUGGUAGUAACUUUACACUUCCUAUAAUCAACUGUAUAAAUAAUGUUUCUUAGUAAACUUUGAGGUAGUUUUCAUUGUUCCAAUUCAAUCUCUCUCUGCCAACUAGAGUUUUGAUAUUUAUUGGAAGUUUUAAUCAACCCAUUUUGUAUGGUGGUGAACUAAGGACUAUGCUCAACGAGACUUGCAGCAAAGCUGAUCCUUCAUUUUGCACCAUCAACUGUGUUCUUAAACAUGGAUGGUAAUGUUGAAUCAUUUCAUAUUCCUUGGGUUUGGUUGCCCCAUACAUAUAUGUAUAGGAGUAUAUGGCUAUUUCCAUGUUUUUCAGGUGUGCAGCUGUAAGAUUUAUCGUGACCCACAAAAGAAGAUACGUGGGAUGGAUAGUAUAAAAUCCACUCAUGUUGGGCCAAUUAAGUAAUUGCCUGCACAAACCGUUCAUUAGUGAAGCAAUACUCCUGCACAGUUGAAGUAAAAUAUACAAUGUUUAAUACUCCACUCAUGUUGGGCCAUUUAAGUUGAUCUUGCCCCGCUUUACCUUUAAUGCUAUACACGAUUGGUUGGGUUCUUUGAUGCACAUUAGUUGACCAAGCUGGAGUUCUCAAGGUUCCACGAAUAAAAUAUUCAUACAUCUUUGUGGACAAAAUUAUUGGUAUUCUGAGUCUGACUGUAAAUUUAAAUUCUUUUCGAGCGUAAAUAUAGUGC